This 328-nucleotide ribosomal RNA is filed under the name uncultured eukaryote. RNAcentral describes it as "partial 18S ribosomal RNA". It matches the Rfam family "Eukaryotic small subunit ribosomal RNA", at positions 1470 to 1796 of the family's 1831-position model. The record is from RNAcentral.
CCCUUAGAUGUUCUGGGCCGCACGCGCGCUACACUGACUACUUCAACGAGUUGUUUCCUUGAUCGAAAGGUCUGGGUAAUCUUUGAAAGGUAGUCGUGAUGGGGAUAGAUCCUUGCAAUUUUUGAUCUUCAACGAGGAAUUCCUAGUAAACGCAAGUCAUCAGCUUGCAUUGAUUACGUCCCUGCCCUUUGUACACACCGCCCGUCGCACCUACCGAUUGAAGGGUCCGGUGAAUCUUUAGGACUGUGGCUGAGGCCUUGCCUUGUGCGGGUCUGGCCGUGGGAAUUUAGUUAAACCUUACCAUUUAGAGGAAGGUGAAGUCGUAACA